RNAcentral lists this transfer RNA (72 nucleotides) under Camelus bactrianus (Bactrian camel). It matches the Rfam family "tRNA". Rfam says of the family: Transfer RNA (tRNA) molecules are approximately 80 nucleotides in length. Their secondary structure includes four short double-helical elements and three loops (D, anti-codon, and T loops). Lineage: Eukaryota; Metazoa; Chordata; Mammalia; Artiodactyla; Camelidae. The record is from Rfam by way of RNAcentral. RNAcentral also lists the same sequence under 1 other name.
GGGGGUUAGCUCAAGUGGUAGAGCACAUGCUUAGCAUGUGCAAGGUCCUGGGUUCAAUCCCCAGUACCUUCG